UUGAAUGUACUCUUUCAUGAGGACAGCUUGUGCUGUGGCCCACUGAUGAUGUGAUGGAUCGAUGCUGGCCCUGCACCCCAGGGUGCUGGACGACCCCCUGCCUAUGGCACCAAUGACUGCGUGCUCGUCACAGGGUCAGUGGGUU
This is a long non-coding RNA of Thalassophryne amazonica, 145 nucleotides long. RefSeq lists it as uncharacterized. NCBI's taxonomy places the organism in Eukaryota, Metazoa, Chordata, Actinopteri, Batrachoidiformes, Batrachoididae. The transcript is spliced from 3 exons. The record is from RefSeq and is a predicted model, not a curated record.